RNAcentral lists this ribosomal RNA (1410 nucleotides) under Triticum aestivum (bread wheat). RNAcentral's name for it is "partial small subunit ribosomal RNA". Lineage: Eukaryota; Viridiplantae; Streptophyta; Magnoliopsida; Poales; Poaceae. The record is from RNAcentral.
AUGAGCUGCCAAGAAGGCGCCAUCCCGGCGGCGGCGGCGGCGCAGCCGCACGUCCUCCUCGUGUCGUGCCCGCUGCAGGGCCACGUGAACCCGCUACUCCGCCUCGGCCGGCGCCUCGCCGCGAGGGGCAUCCUCGUCACCUUCACCACCCUCCGCCACGCCGGCCUCCGUGCUGCCACCCACCGCGACGGCGUCCGCUUCGAGUUGUACCAGCUGCGCGACCACGACGGCGGCCAGAUGACCCCCGACGACAUGCUGCGGCACGUCGCGGCUGAGGGCCCGGCGGCGCUGGCCGACCUGGUACGGCGCCAGGCCGACGCCGGCCGGCCGGUCUCCUGCGUCGUCAACACCACCUUCGUGCCCUGGGCGCUCGACGUGGCCUGGGAGCUCGGCCUCCCUUGCGCGACGCUCUGGAACCAGUCCUGCGCUGUGCUCUCGCUCUACCACCACUUCUACGACGACGACACGCCGUUCCCGAGCACGGCCGACGACGCACCGGUGGCGCUGCCCGGGCUGCCGGCCAUGUCCUUGCACGAGCUGCCGCUCAUGGUCCGACCCGAGUUCGCGCACAACCUCUGGGGCCAGAUGCUCCGAAGGCAGCUCGUGGAGGUCCGUGGGAGGCAGGCGCCGUCGUGGGUGCUCGUCAACACCUUCCACGAGCUCGAGCGCGACGCCAUCGACGCGCUACGGGCUCGCGACGUCGCCGUCACGCCCGUCGGCCCGCUCCUGGACGACGAUGAACCGGCCGUUGCCGACGAUGACGGCUGCGUCAUGGCGUGGCUCGACGCGCAGCCGCCGCGCUCUGUUGUGUACGUGGCGUUCGGCAGCCUCGUGGACAUCGGGCGGGACGAGACGGUGGCCCUGGCGGAGGGGCUGGCCGGCACGGGCAGGCCGUUCAUUUGGGUGGUGCGCGACGACCUCCUCCACCUCCCGGAGCCCGUCCUCGCCGCAUGCCGAGGAGACACCGGCAGGAUCGUGGCGUGGUGCCCGCAGGGGCGCGUGCUCCGGCACGGCGCCGUCGGGUGCUUCGUGACGCACUGCGGGUGGAACUCCGUCACGGAGGCGCUGGCGGCGGGCGUGCCGGUGGUCGCGUACCCGUGGUGGUCGGACCAGUUCACCAACGCCAAGUUCUUGGUGGAGGAGUUCGGGGUCGGCGUCCGGCUGCCGGCGCCGGUCACGCAGGAUGGGCUCCGUGCGUGCAUCGAGGAGGUGAUGAGCGGGCCGGAGGCAGUGGCAAUCCGGAGGAGGGCGACGGCGUGGAAGGAGGAGGCGGCGGCGGCGCUGGCCGACGGCGGGUCAUCGGACCGGGGCCUCGAGGCCUUCGUUGACUUCGUGCGAGCGCCCGUAGGAUCUGGUGGAGUUGACACGAUUAGCUCGCCGGCAAAGCAGGGAUCAGUCAGUUCGUUAUAA